GAUGAACGCUGGCGGCGUGCCUAAUACAUGCAAGUCGAGCGAACGGACGAGAAGCUUGCUUCUCUGAUGUUAGCGGCGGACGGGUGAGUAACACGUGGAUAACCUACCUAUAAGACUGGGAUAAUUUCGGGAAACCGGAGCUAAUACCGGAUGAUAUUUUGCACCGCAUGGUUCAAAAGUGUAAGACGGUCUUGCUGUCACUUAUAGAUGGAUCCGCGCUGCAUUAGCUAGUUGGUAAGGUAACGGCUUACCAAGGCUACGAUGCAUAGCCGACCUGAGAGGGUGAUCGGCCACACGGGAACUGAGACACGGUCCAGACUCCUACGGGAGGCAGCAGUAGGGAAUCUUCCGCAAUGGGCGAAAGCCUGACGGAGCAACGCCGCGUGAGGGAUGAAGGUCUUCGGAUCGUAAAACUCUGUUAUUAGGAAAGAACAUAUGUGUAAGUAACUGUGCACAUCUUGACGGUACCUAAUCAGAAAGCCACGGCUAACUACGUG
RNAcentral lists this ribosomal RNA (497 nucleotides) under uncultured bacterium. RNAcentral describes it as "partial 16S ribosomal RNA". It matches the Rfam family "Bacterial small subunit ribosomal RNA", at positions 28 to 507 of the family's 1533-position model. The record is from RNAcentral.